AACGUAAGGGGCGAACGUUGCUCGGAAUUACUGGGCGUAAAGGGCCGGUAGGUGGCUUUAUAAGUCAGUUGUCAAAUACCCAUGCUCAACGUGGGAGAGGCGACUGAUACUGUAGAGCUUGAGUAGAGGAGGGGAUGACGGAAUACCCGGUGUAGGGGUGAAAUCUGUUGAUAUCGGGUAGAACACCGAUGGCGAAAGCGGUCAUCUAGCCUCAUACUGACACUCAACGGCGAAAGCCAGGGGAGCGAACGGGAUUAGAUACCCCGGUAGUCCUGGCCAUAAACGAUGCAUGCUAGGUAUUGGCACCGCGUUGGUGAUAGUACCGUAGCUUACGCGUUAAGCAUGCCGCCUGGGGAGUAUGCUCGCAAGAGUGAA
Molecule: ribosomal RNA, 375 nt
Filed under: uncultured bacterium
Lineage: Bacteria
Also listed under: 1 other name
Description: bacterial SSU rRNA
Rfam family: Bacterial small subunit ribosomal RNA
Source: RNAcentral